This 21-nucleotide microRNA is filed under the name Schmidtea mediterranea. Its description in RNAcentral is "sme-miR-2d-3p". Its record names the gene sme-miR-2d-3p. The record is from miRBase by way of RNAcentral. Lineage: Eukaryota; Metazoa; Platyhelminthes; Tricladida; Dugesiidae.
UCACAGCCAAAUUUGAUGUCC